UGGCAUCACAGACCUGUUAUUGCCUCCAACUUCCAUCAGCUUGAGCUGAUAGUCUCUCUAAGAAGCCGGCGACCAGCCAAAGCUAGCCUGGCUAUUUAGCAGAGGAAGGUCUCGCUCGUUAUCGCAAUUAAGCAGACAAGUCACCCCACGAACUAAGAACGGCCAUGCACCACCACCUGAAAAAUCAAGAAAGAGCUCUCAAUCUGUCAAUCCUUAUUUCAUCUGGACCUGGUGAGUUUCCCCGUGUUGAGUCAAAUUAAGCCGCAGGCUCCACGCCUGGUGGUGACCUUCCGUCAAUUCCUUUAAGUUAACCUGCGGAGGGAUCAUUACACAACAAAAAUAUGAGGGUGUGGUUUGCUGGCACAGCGUCCGCCCCAAGUAUUUUUCACCCAUGUCUUUUGCGCACUUUUUGUUUCCUGGGCGAGUUCGCUCGCCACCAGGACCCAACCAUAAACCUUUUUUUAUGCAGUUGCAAUCAGCGUCAGUAUAAUAAUUCAAUUUAUUAAAACUUUCAACAACGGAUCUCUUGGUUCUGGCAUCGAUGAAGAACGCAGCGAAAUGCGAUACGUAGUGUGAAUUGCAGAAUUCAGUGAAUCAUCGAAUCUUUGAACGCACAUUGCGCCCUUUGGUAUUCCAAAGGGCAUGCCUGUUCGAGCGUCAUUUGUACCCUCAAGCUUUGCUUGGUGUUGGGCGUCUUUUUGUCUCUCCCCUUGCUGGGGGAGACUCGCCUUAAAACGAUUGGCAGCCGACCUACUGGUUUUCGGAGCGCAGCACAAAUUUGCGCCUUCCAAUCCACGGGGCGGCAUCCAGCAAGCCUUUGUUUUCUAUAACAAAUCCACAUUUGACCUCGGAUCAGUAGGGAUACCCGCUGAACUUAAGCAUAUCAAUAAGCGGAGGAA
RNAcentral lists this ribosomal RNA (899 nucleotides) under Exserohilum rostratum. Its description in RNAcentral is "partial 18S ribosomal RNA". The stretch from base 507 to 660 matches the Rfam family "5.8S ribosomal RNA". The record is from RNAcentral. Lineage: Eukaryota; Fungi; Ascomycota; Dothideomycetes; Pleosporales; Pleosporaceae.